UACGUAGGGUCCGAGCGUUGUCCGGAAUUAUUGGGCGUAAAGAGCUCGUAGGCGGUAUGUCGCGUCUGCUGUGAAAGACCGGGGCUUAACUUCGGUUUUGCAGUGGAUACGGGCAUGCUGGAGGUAGGUAGGGGAGACUGGAAUUCCUGGUGUAGCGGUGAAAUGCGCAGAUAUCAGGAGGAACACCGGUGGCGAAGGCGGGUCUCUGGGCCUUACCUGACGCUGAGGAGCGAAAGCAUGGGUAGCCAACAGG
RNAcentral lists this ribosomal RNA (253 nucleotides) under uncultured bacterium. RNAcentral describes it as "partial 16S ribosomal RNA". It matches the Rfam family "Bacterial small subunit ribosomal RNA", at positions 524 to 776 of the family's 1533-position model. The record is from RNAcentral.